This 301-nucleotide ribosomal RNA is filed under the name uncultured bacterium. Its description in RNAcentral is "partial 16S ribosomal RNA". It matches the Rfam family "Bacterial small subunit ribosomal RNA", at positions 509 to 807 of the family's 1533-position model. The record is from RNAcentral.
CAGCCGCCGCGGGAAUACGUAGGUGGCAAGCGUUGUCCGGAAUUAUUGGGCGUAAAGGGCUCGCAGGCGGUUUCUUAAGUCUGAUGUGAAAGCCCCCGGCUCAACCGGGGAGGGUCAUUGGAAACUGGGAAACUUGAGUGCAGAAGAGGAGAGUGGAAUCCCACGUGUAGCGGUGAAAUGCGUAGAGAUGUGGAGGAACACCAGUGGCGAAGGCGACUCUCUGGUCUGUAACUGACGCUGAGGAGCGAAAGCGUGGGGAGCGAACAGGAUUAGAUACCCCAGUAGUCCCUGUCUCUUAUAC